UGAGCGUUUGUUUACCGCCCGCAGCUGUUGGCCCGAAUUCCUGAAAGCCAUCGCUGCACUGCGAGAGGACUUGAAGGGGUGGAAUUUUGAAGCGGGAGUCAACCGCAUUCCGGUUAGUCUUCCACCGAAAUUGAUCGACGAAUGCCGCCCCCAUAAAUAUGAGCCAGAGCUCCGGUUGCAUUAUUUAUGGAAGCCUUGACUCUCCAAAAAAAGAGUUCGAUUAGAUUACAAAGCAGCGGACAAGGAAACUGCAAAGCAUUCGAUCAUCUGGCAUCGAGCCAAUUCCGUGUCCAGAGAGACACGCCACUCAUGAGUAAUUGGUUAAAGAUGGCCCACCAGUGGAUGCCAUCCACUUGAUAUUCAAUCGAAUGUGACAGUGACUCUGUGGGCCUUAAAUAGGGUUUGGAGGUGGUAUCACAUGGGGGAAACGUUUUGAAGCAAUUACUGCCAGUUGCCUGCGACUUUGCUUGUUUUUUUUUGGCAGGCAUUGAAGUAACAAGACCACUACAGUGAUUCCCUCUACAGAUCUUAGCAAGGUUCAUAUUGGUAAUAUAUUUUAAAUAAAAAUUCCAACAUAAGAAAUGAAUUUUAUCAUAAAA
Drosophila ananassae is the source of this 599-nucleotide long non-coding RNA. RefSeq lists it as uncharacterized. The record is from RefSeq and is a predicted model, not a curated record. The transcript is spliced from 2 exons. NCBI's taxonomy places the organism in Eukaryota, Metazoa, Arthropoda, Insecta, Diptera, Drosophilidae.